RNAcentral lists this unclassified non-coding RNA (25 nucleotides) under Mus musculus (house mouse). RNAcentral's name for it is "oocyte_clustered_small_RNA10658". The record is from RNAcentral. Lineage: Eukaryota; Metazoa; Chordata; Mammalia; Rodentia; Muridae.
UAGACAGGGUUUGGCAGGAACCGCA